RNAcentral lists this ribosomal RNA (500 nucleotides) under uncultured Glomeromycotina. Its description in RNAcentral is "partial small subunit ribosomal RNA". It matches the Rfam family "Eukaryotic small subunit ribosomal RNA", at positions 591 to 1092 of the family's 1831-position model. The record is from RNAcentral. Lineage: Eukaryota; Fungi; Glomeromycota.
CCAAUAGCGUAUAUUAAAGUUGUUGCAGUUAAAAAGCUCGUAGUUGAAUUUCGGGAUCAGUACGCCGGUCGUGCCUUCGGUAUGCACUGGUGUCACUGGUUUCUCCCUUCUGAAGAACCAUCAUGCCAUUCAGUUGGUGUGGCGGGGAAUCAGGACUGUUACUUUGAAAAAAUUAGAGUGUUUAAAGCAGGCCCGCGCUUGAAUACAUUAGCAUGGAAUAAUGAAAUAGGACGUUUGACCCUAUUUUGUUGGUUCCUAGGAUCGACGUAAUGAUUAAUAGGGAUAGUUUGGGGCAUUAGUAUUCAAUUGUCAGAGGUGAAAUUCUUGGAUUUAUUGAAGACUAACUACUGCGAAAGCAUUUGCCAAAGAUGUUUUCAUUAAUCAAGAACGAAAGUUAGGGGAUCGAAGACGAUCAGAUACCGUCGUAGUCUUAACCAUAAACUAUGCCGACUAGGGAUCGGAUGAUGUUAAUUUUUUAAUGACUCAUUCGGCGCCUUACG